UAACCAUAAGCAUAAUGGCGCCGUGGUAC
Molecule: non-coding RNA, 29 nt
Filed under: Rattus norvegicus (Norway rat)
Lineage: Eukaryota; Metazoa; Chordata; Mammalia; Rodentia; Muridae
Source: RNAcentral